RNAcentral lists this ribosomal RNA (460 nucleotides) under uncultured bacterium. RNAcentral describes it as "partial 16S ribosomal RNA". It matches the Rfam family "Bacterial small subunit ribosomal RNA", at positions 338 to 795 of the family's 1533-position model. The record is from RNAcentral.
CCUACGGGUGGCAGCAGUGAGGAAUAUUUGUCAAUGGGCGCGAGCCUGAACCAGCCAAGUAGCGUGAAGGAUGACUGCCCUACGGGUUGUAAACUUCUUUUAUAAAGGAAUAAAGUGAGGCACGUGUGCCUUUUUGUAUGUACUUUAUGAAUAAGGAUCGGCUAACUCCGUGCCAGCAGCCGCGGUAAUACGGAUGAUCCGAGCGUUAUCCGGAUUUAUUGGGUUUAAAGGGAGCGUAGAUUGGUUGUUAAGUCAGGUGUGAAAGUUUGCGGCUCAACCGUAAGAUUGCAAUUGAUACUGGCAGUCUUGAGUACAGGUGAGGUAGGCGGAAUUCGUGGUGUAGCAGUGAAAUGCUUAGAUAUCACGAAGAACUCUGAUUGCGAAGGCAGCUUACUAAACUGCAACUGACAUUGAUGCUCGAAAGUGUGGGUAGCAAACAGGAUUAGAUACCCCUGUAGUC